AGAGUAAGUCAGCCUAAUCCGACGUAUUUACAGUAAUUAAAGUUGGAGCGGAGGAACCACCUUGUGGGGCGUAUCUCCCAAAGAGUGUUAACUAAAGAGUCAAGAGUCAAGAAUAACUCAAUCUAAAAUAUCUAACUCAGCACUCAUUACUUAGCACUCAAAAGAGAGGGGCAUCUCUCAGCCCUAGCCCGUCAGCUAACUUCGUAGGCAUUGAGAGGAGACUGA
Molecule: small RNA, 225 nt
Filed under: Nostoc sp.
Lineage: Bacteria; Bacillati; Cyanobacteriota; Cyanophyceae; Nostocales; Nostocaceae
Description: c-di-AMP sequence
Rfam family: c-di-AMP riboswitch aptamer (ydaO/yuaA leader)
About the family: This family represents a conserved RNA structure found upstream of the ydaO and yuaA genes in Bacillus subtilis and related genes in other bacteria. The ydaO/yuaA element is thought to act as a genetic "off" switch for the ydaO and yuaA genes in its native state.
Source: RNAcentral